AUUGAACGCUGGCGGCAGGCUUAACACAUGCAAGUCGAACGAGUGGCGGACGGGGGAGUAAUGCUUGGGAAUCUGGCUUAUGGAGGGGGAUAACGACGGGAAACUGUCGCUAAUACCGCCUACCAUAGGAUGAGCCCACGUGGGAUUCGGUAGUUGUGGGGGUAAUGGCCUACCAAGCCGACGAGCUCUAGCUGGUCUGAGAGGAUGACCAGCUACACCGGGACUGAGACACGGCCAUGACUCCUCAGGGAGGCAGCAGUGGGGAAUACUGCGCAAUGGGGGCAACCUGACGGAGCCAUGCCGCGUGAAUGAAGAAGGCCUCCGGGUUGUAAAGUUCUUUCGGUGACGAGGCGUUAAUCACAGAAGAAGCACCGGCUAACUCCGUGCCAGCAGCCGCGGUAAUAC
Molecule: ribosomal RNA, 405 nt
Filed under: uncultured bacterium
Lineage: Bacteria
Description: partial 16S ribosomal RNA
Rfam family: Bacterial small subunit ribosomal RNA
Source: RNAcentral